UACAGAGGUCCCAAGCGUUGUUCGGAUUCAUUGGGCGUAAAGGGUGCGUAGGCGGCGCGGUAAGUCGGGUGUGAAAUCUCGGAGCUUAACUCCGAAACUGCAUUCGAUACUGCCGUGCUUGAGGACUGGAGAGGAGACUGGAAUUCCCGGUGUAGUGGUGAAAUGCGUAGAUAUCGGGAGGAACACCAGUGGCGAAGGCGACUUCCUGGCCUGUUCUUGACGCUGAGGCGCGAAAGCUAGGGGAGCAAACGGG
RNAcentral lists this ribosomal RNA (253 nucleotides) under uncultured bacterium. RNAcentral describes it as "partial 16S ribosomal RNA". It matches the Rfam family "Bacterial small subunit ribosomal RNA", at positions 524 to 776 of the family's 1533-position model. The record is from RNAcentral.